This 253-nucleotide ribosomal RNA is filed under the name uncultured bacterium. RNAcentral's name for it is "partial 16S ribosomal RNA". It matches the Rfam family "Bacterial small subunit ribosomal RNA", at positions 524 to 776 of the family's 1533-position model. The record is from RNAcentral.
UACGAAGGGUGCGAGCGUUGUUCGGAAUUAUUGGGCGUAAAGGGUUUGUAGGCAGAAAUGUAAGUCAAGUGUGAAACCCCCGAGCUUAACUUGGGACGUGCAUUUGAAACUGUGUUUCUUGAGUAUCGUAGAGGGUGGUGGAAUUGUAGGUGUAGGAGUGACAUCCGUAGAGAUCUGCAGGAACAUCAGAGGCGAAAGCGACCACCUGGCCGAUAACUGACGCUGAGGAACGAAAGCGUGGGGAGCAAACAGG